This is an RNA transcript of Daucus carota subsp. sativus, 697 nucleotides long. RefSeq lists it as uncharacterized. Lineage: Eukaryota; Viridiplantae; Streptophyta; Magnoliopsida; Apiales; Apiaceae. The transcript is spliced from 2 exons. The record is from RefSeq and is a predicted model, not a curated record.
ACCAGAUUGAAGUUAUACAUAUUAACUUACAUUCGGCAAAGAUGAGGGGGAUCAAUAUUACUAGCUUUAUAAUGAUCAUGAUGGCUGUAAUGGUCAUCUUAGUGUCUCCUAGCCACGCAAAAGAUCAAUAUUUGAAUUUCGACAUUACAUGCUUCAUGAAAUGUGCUUCUGGUUGUCUGCAAAAUCCAACCUUACAGUGUUUCACCAAGUGUCUAACUUCUUGCAUAGCACCCUCUCCGUCGCCCUCACCCUCACCCUCUCCGAUGCCUCCAAUGCCACCUAAACCACCGAUGCCGCCUCAACCACCAGCAACACCCCCAACCUCCCCUGUUUCAUUACCUAUGGCUUCACUAGCAGAGUUGAAGUCUUGCAAUUUCGAAUGUGCAGCCCGAGAGUGUGCCAGUACCGAAACAGAAAUGGAGACACUAAAUUGCAUGGAGAGGUGCUUUAAUCUUUCUUGUGACGAUAAUUAAACUGCUAUAAUUUCUACCAGAACUACAGGCCGGCCAUGUCACACAAUAAAUUGAACUAUAUCUCAAAAUCUGAGAAGAGUUAUUCUCAAAAUUAUAUAUCAUGUCAUAUAUGUUUCUCUUUGUUUCUGUUUCUAAUUAUACAUAGUUGUUCGUGAAUGUUGUAUCAUGUUCUUUGUAACUUCUGUUUAAAGCUCAGGAACAAAUUUACGAGUAGAAGAUUACUA